GAUGAACGCUGGCGGCGUGCCUAAUACAUGCAAGUCGAGCGAACGGACGAGAAGCUUGUUUCUUUGAUGUUAGCGGCGGACGGGUGAGUAACACGUGGAUAACCCACUUAUAUGACUGGGAUAACCUCGGGAAACCGGAGCUAAUACCGGAUGAUAUUCUGAACCGCAUGGUUCAAAAGUGAAUGACGGCCUUGCUGUCACUUAUAGAUGGAUCCGCGCUGCAUUAGCUAGUUGGUAAGGUAACGGCUUAUCAAGGCAACGAUGCAUAGCCGAACUGAGAGGGUGGUCGGCCACACUGGAACUGAGACACGGUCCAGGCUCCUACGAGAGGCAGCAGUAGGGAAUCGUCGGCAGUGGUCGAAAGCAUGACGGAGCGACGGCGCGUGAGUGAUGAAGGUCUUCGGAUCGUAAAGCUCUGUUAUUGGGGAAGAACAGAUGUGUAAGUAACUGUGCACAUCUUGACGGUACCUGAUCAGAAAGCCACGGCUAACUACGUG
Molecule: ribosomal RNA, 497 nt
Filed under: uncultured bacterium
Lineage: Bacteria
Description: partial 16S ribosomal RNA
Rfam family: Bacterial small subunit ribosomal RNA
Source: RNAcentral